Molecule: ribosomal RNA, 863 nt
Filed under: uncultured Bacteroidota bacterium
Lineage: Bacteria; Pseudomonadati; Bacteroidota
Description: bacterial SSU rRNA
Rfam family: Bacterial small subunit ribosomal RNA
Source: RNAcentral
AGAGUUUGAUCCUGGCUCAGGAUGAACGCUAGCUACAGGCUUAACACAUGCAAGUCGAGGGGUAGCACGGAGGAAGCUUGCUUCCUUGGGUGACGACCGGCGCACGGGUGAGUAACGCGUAUCCGACCUACCCAUAACACGGGCACAGCCGCUCGAAAGAGUGAUUGAUUCCCGAUAUGUCAUUGGAGUAGAUUCAAUGAUGAAAGAUUUAUCGGUUAUGGAUGGGGAUGCGUAAGAUUAGGUAGUAGGCGGGGUAACGGCCCACCUAGCCGACGAUCUUUAGGGGUUCUGAGAGGAAGGUCCCCCACACUGGUACUGAGACACGGACCAGACUCCUACGGGAGGCAGCAGUGAGGAAUAUUGGUCAAUGGGCGGAAGCCUGAACCAGCCAAGUAGCGUGAAGGAUUACAGCCCUACGGGUUUUAAACUUCUUUUAUAUAAGAGUAAWGUGCACUACGUGUAGUGUAUUGCAAGUAUUAUAUGAAUAAGCAUCGGCUAACUCCGUGCCAGCAGCCGCGGUAAUACGGAGGAUGCGAGCGUUAUCCGGAUUUAUUGGGUUUAAAGGGAGCGUAGGCGGGAUAUUAAGUCAGUCGUCAAAGCCUGUGGCUCAACCACAGCCCGCGAUUGAUACUGGUAACCUUGAGUGCGGAUGAGGUGGAUGGAAUUCGUGGUGUAGCGGUGAAAUGCUUAGAUAUCACGAAGAACUCCGAUUGCGAAGGCAGUUCACUGGGCCGCAACUGACGCUGAAGCUCGAAAGUGCGGGUUUCAAACAGGAUUAGAUACCCUGGUAGUCCGCACCGAACCCCUUACUCGCUGCUGGCGAUAUACUGUCAGGCCCACGCGAAAGCAUUAAGUAUCCCACC